AAACACCACAGCACUAUUACCACCAUUACCACCAAACAACACCAUUACUGCCAAACACCACAGCACUAUUACUACCAUUACCACCAAACACCACCAUUACUGCCAAACACCACAGCACUAUUACCACCAUUACCACCAAACACCACCAUUACCGCCAUUACCACCAAACACCACAGCACUAUUACCACCAUUACCACUAAAACCCCACCAUUACCACCAAACACCACCAUAACCACCAGACACCACCAUUACCACCAUUACCACCAAACACCACAUCACUAUUACUACCAUUACCACCAAACACCACCAUUACUGCCAAACACCACAGCACUAUUACCACCAUUACCACCAAACACCACCAUUACCACCAAACACCACCAUAACCAGCAGACACCACCAUUACCACCGAACACCACCAUAACACCACUAACACAACGCACACCUCAAACACCGCCGUUACCAUCACAAACACCAGUAACGCGGUUAACGGCUAACGAUCUUCACAUCGACGCUGUCCAGGUAAUGAACUGAUUAGUGAAAGUGUGUGCUGUUUAAAAUAAAUAAAAAUAAAUAAAUAUUUU
Molecule: long non-coding RNA, 581 nt
Organism: Ictalurus punctatus (channel catfish)
Lineage: Eukaryota; Metazoa; Chordata; Actinopteri; Siluriformes; Ictaluridae
Source: Ensembl